RNAcentral lists this ribosomal RNA (253 nucleotides) under uncultured bacterium. RNAcentral's name for it is "partial 16S ribosomal RNA". It matches the Rfam family "Bacterial small subunit ribosomal RNA", at positions 524 to 776 of the family's 1533-position model. The record is from RNAcentral.
UACGUAGGGUGCGAGCGUUGUCCGGAUUUAUUGGGCGUAAAGAGCUCGUAGGUGGUUUGUUGCGUCGGAAGUGAAAACACAGGGCUUAACUUUGUGCUUGCUUUCGAUACGGGCAGACUUGAGGAAGGUAGGGGAGAACGGAAUUCCUGGUGGAGCGGUGGAAUGCGCAGAUAUCAGGAGGAACACCAGUGGCGAAGGCGGUUCUCUGGACCUUUCCUGACGCUGAGGAGCGAAAGCGUGGGGAGCAAACAGG